ACAGUGGCAAGAUCUCGACUCACUGCAACCUCUGCCUGCCGGGUUCAAGCAAUUCUCCUGGCUCAGCCUCCCAAGUAGCUGGGAUUACAGUGUACCACACCAAGGAACUCCCACACUCUGAAUGAACAGCCCAGUGAUCAGGAGCUUUGAAUCAAUUCUUGGCACCUAACAGUUUGUGAAGAGUCUGCUAAACUCCCUCUAUCAGAAAUCCCAGAGGACUGAGAACAGGUCAUCCUUGGAGGCUCUUUGACAAAAGUCUCCAGAAAACUACUGAAC
RNAcentral lists this long non-coding RNA (276 nucleotides) under Homo sapiens (human). Its description in RNAcentral is "HSALNT0394663". Lineage: Eukaryota; Metazoa; Chordata; Mammalia; Primates; Hominidae. The record is from RNAcentral.